RNAcentral lists this unclassified non-coding RNA (321 nucleotides) under Hevea brasiliensis (rubber tree). Lineage: Eukaryota; Viridiplantae; Streptophyta; Magnoliopsida; Malpighiales; Euphorbiaceae. The record is from RNAcentral.
AUCCCGGUCUGUUUUCUAACAUCAGAAGGAUCUACAUGGUAGAAAAUGGGAAAAACCCGUAGGCCCAUUCUUUCCUUGCAGUCAAUUAUCUUCACCAGUUCAUCAAGACACCACCGAGAGGACGCAUAAUUUUCUGAGAAAAUUACUACAGAAAUCUUGGAUUCUUCAAUCGCUUUCAUGAGCGCUGGCGAGAUCCCUUCUCCUCUCUCAAGAACAUCGUCCAUGAAUGUCGUAAUAUUUUUCCGGCACAAAGCAGCAUGAAGAUGACUAGCAAAAUUGUGACGAGUAUCAAUUCCCCUAAAACUAAGGAAAACAUCAUAG